CUAGAGUACUGUUGCCGUGGGAGGAAUGUGUAGUGUAGCGGUGAAAUGCAUAGAUAUUACACAGAACACCGAUUGCGAAGGCAUCUCACGAAGCAGGGACUGACGCUGAUACACGAAAGUGCGGGGAUCAAACAGGAUUAGAUACCCUGGUAGUCCGCACAGUAAACGAUGAUGACUAGCUGUAGGCGAUAGACAGUCUGUGGCUAAGCGAAAGCGAUAAGUCAUCCACCUGGGGAGUACGACCGCAAGGUUGAAACUCAAAGGAAUUGACGGGGGCCCGCACAAGCGGAGGAACAUGUGGUUUAAUUCGAUGAUACGCGAGGAACCUUACCCGGGCUCGAACGGUGCAGGAAGCCUUCAGAGAUGGAGGCGCUCUUCGGAGCCUGUAUCGAGGUGCUGCAUGGUUGUCGUCAGCUCGUGCCGUGAGGUGUCGGCUUAAGUGCCAUAACGAGCGCAACCCUUGCUGACAGUUGCCAUCAGGUAAAGCUGGGGACUCUGUCGGGACUGCCACCGUAAGGUGUGAGGAAGGGGGGGAUGACGUCAAAUCAGCACGGCCCUUAUGUCCGGGGCGACACACGUGUUACAAUGGUGGGUACAGCGGGUAGCUACACGGCGACGUGAUGCCAAUCCCUAAAACCCCUCUCAGUUCGGACUGGAGUCUGCAACCCGACUCCACGAAGCUGGAUUCGCUAGUAAUCGCGCAUCAGCCACGGCGCGGUGAAUACGUUCCCGGGCCUUGUACACACCGCCCGUCAAGCCAUGAAAGCCGGGGGUACCUGAAGUGCGUAACCGCAAGGAGCGCCCUAGGGUAAAACUGGUGAUUGGGGCUAAGUCGUAACAAGGUAACCA
RNAcentral lists this ribosomal RNA (849 nucleotides) under uncultured bacterium. RNAcentral's name for it is "bacterial SSU rRNA". It matches the Rfam family "Bacterial small subunit ribosomal RNA", at positions 641 to 1502 of the family's 1533-position model. The record is from RNAcentral.